UGGGGGAUAUUGCACAAUGGGCGAAAGCCUGAUGCAGCGACGCCGCGUGGGGGAUGAAGGCCUUCGGGUUGUAAACUUCUUUUGCUCUGAACAAGGCAUGCUAAUGGGUGUGUUGAGUGUAGGGGUUGAUUAGCGCCGGCUAACUACGUGCCAGCAGCCGCGGUAAUACGUAGGGCGCGAGCGUUGUCCGGAAUUAUUGGGCGUAAAGGGCUUGUAGGUGGCUGGUUGCGUCUGUCGUGAAAGCUGCUGGCUUAACUGUGGGUUUGCGGUGGGUACGGGCUGGCUUGAGUGCAGUAGGGGAGGCUGGAAUUCCUGGUGUAGCGGUGGAAUGCGCAGAUAUCAGGAGGAAUACCGGUGGCGAAGGCGGGUCUCUGGGCUGUUACUGACACUGAGGAGCGAAAGCAUGGGGAGCGAACAGG
This 419-nucleotide ribosomal RNA is filed under the name bacterium. RNAcentral's name for it is "partial 16S ribosomal RNA". It matches the Rfam family "Bacterial small subunit ribosomal RNA", at positions 355 to 776 of the family's 1533-position model. The record is from RNAcentral.